CAGAGGCUCCAGCUGUGCAGAGAACAGACACAAACCUACAACUGAGAUAACAGCAGACUUUACAACAGUAGAAGUUACAACAGUAGAAGUUACAACAGUAGAUGUUACAACAGUAGAAGUUACAGCAGUAGAAGUUACAGCAGUAGAAGUUACAGCAGUAGAAGUUACAGCAGUAGAAGUUACAACAGUAGAAGUUACAGCAGUAGAAGUUACAGCAGUAGAAGUUACAACAGUAGAAGGUACAACAGUAGAAGGUACAACAGUAGAAGUUACAGCAGUAGAAGUUACAACAGUAGAAGUUACAGCAGUAGAAGUUACAGCAGUAGAAGUUACAACAGUAGGAGGUACAGUAGUAGAAGUUACAGCAGUAUAAGUUACAACUGAGAUAACAGCAGAGUUUACAACAGGAGAAGUUACAGCAGUAGAAGUUACAGUAGUAGAAGUUACUUCAUUUGAGCACAGUUGUGUAAAGAUGUCAGAGGAAAUCUAUGAAAACAGAGAUGGAUUUAAAGGGAAAAAACCAGAUGAGACCAUGAAUAUUGAUGAUCAUAUACCCAUCAACAAAAGACCCAUCAUGCCCUGCAAGAAGGAUGGAGUUGGUGAUCAACAUUCAGUGUUUUGUCAGUGGUGGAAGAGAUACUCUGGAGCUGCUGCAGUGUGUCUGGGGCUGCUGUGUGUUCUCCUACUGGCUGGGAUCAUAGGCCUCUUACUCUACCAGAGAAACCAAUUGACCAGCUCCAACACCAUGACCAAAGAGAGAUACCAGUUACAGAUCAGCGGAAACAACCUGACUGAAGAGAGAGACCAGCUACAGACUAGCAACAACACGCUGACCAAAGAGAGAGACCAGCAACAGACCAUCGACAACACUCUGAUCAAAGAGAGAGACCAGCUACAGACCAGAUACAACACCCUGACCAAAGAGAGAGACCAGCUACAGACCAGAUACAACACCCUGACCGAAGAGAGAGACCAGCUACAGAAAGAGACAGAACGUCUGAAACAAUCUUUAGUUGAGAAAG
Molecule: long non-coding RNA, 1022 nt
Filed under: Salmo salar (Atlantic salmon)
Lineage: Eukaryota; Metazoa; Chordata; Actinopteri; Salmoniformes; Salmonidae
Description: lncRNA (ENSSSAG00000121569.1)
Source: RNAcentral